GGAGAUGCAGACUUUAGAGAGAGAAAGUAAGAGUCUGAGAAAGUAGAGAGAGAGAGAGAGCAGCAAAGAAAAAGGAUCCGAUGGGUUCCGGUCGCCGGUGAUGGCGGAGCCAUGGUGCCUUUAGAUGGAGCUACAACAGUGGUGGUCUAGGUGGUGUCGGGUUGGAGAAACAAACAACAGUGGUGGUGCUAGGGUUUGAUAGAGGAUGAUGGUGGUAAGAGGCGGUGGUUCAGUUGACAACUGUGACGACCUCUUCCUUUUCUUAAAACCCCCUUCUAUAUUGUCUCUCAUGUUCUUAUCCAUUCCUCCACCAAUUCCAGGGAAAGGCCCUCAUGUUGGCUGAAAUAUUUGAUUAUGUCCACUUUUCAAGUCGAGGCGUGUCUUGCUCCCGUUAUUCCUAUGCCAUAUGAUUUUGUAGUGGAUUUGAUAUUUGAAUGCAUUCAUGCUUAAACCUGAUAAGUACAACAAAGCUAUUGUAGGCGUUCUAACAAGUAUUGAUACAUAGCUUGGAGGUUGUUAGUAUGGU
Molecule: long non-coding RNA, 526 nt
Filed under: Helianthus annuus (common sunflower)
Lineage: Eukaryota; Viridiplantae; Streptophyta; Magnoliopsida; Asterales; Asteraceae
Description: sRNA HanXRQr2_Chr03g0116341
Source: RNAcentral